AAUUCUUUCUCUGGGUUUUCAACAUAGCUAUCAGACAAGUUUGGGAGAAGAACUUUUGCAUCAACUUUGCACGAAAGCAUUACGAAACAUCCUUUCGGUGUAACAUUUUUCACAUAUGCCUACAAGUAAAAAGAAAAGGAAAAGAAGAGAGGAACCUCCACAAUAAUUAAUUCGCAGAAUAAGGAAACCCAUCAUCAUUGCAGAUGACAGUAAAAUACUGAAACGCUAAAAUGAAUUUAGUAAUGAGUUCAUCAGUGUACAAUCAGGUCAUAUCCUAUGUGUUAUAUUUUUUUCCUUUUAUAACUGAGAAACCAGUUCAUAUCCUAUAUGUUGAAUGAUUUUAAUGGAAAACAAUGAACAGACAACUAACUUCCUGUGCAUAUACAAGAAUGAGUUUGUUACGACCUCAGCACAUAAUUUAUUAUACAUAUAGAAUAUAAGAGGCAUCUGCAAGCAGUCGCACAAAAAGUUCAGACUUGAGACCGCGUGAAAGACGUUUCAUAUGAAGGAUGCAUAAACCUUUCAUCAGAAAAGUAUAAUGGAAAAAGAAACAAGAAAAAUCAUAUAUGCGAUACAAGGGAAUCAGUUACUUCAAGAUUUUGAUAUUAGUGGGCAGAAAAAGAAAACGUAUCUGAAGGGAGUGUCAUUAGCAUCAAUAUACAUUUUCUAAUCUUCCCACAUAUACAACAUAUCUCUAAUUAAGACGCCAGCCACUGUAAGCAGAAGAGAUUAAUCAAUAAGCAAAGUGGCACUUGAGAAAUUCUGCAUUGGCAUUGUCAGUGACAGCAGAAAGGAGAAGGUUAACUUCAGACAAGUAUGGAGAUGAAAAAGGGACUCUGUACGAGGGGCUAAACAGUUCAUAAGGGACAGCUCAAUGGAAAUAUGUAAUGAAUUUUGUGUGAUCCAGAACACGUAAGCUGAAAUUGGGAAGACAUUAUUUCAGCAACCCUUAGUUUGAGGUCAGUUCAUUGAGGAGAGACUUGGACGUUUAAAUUAAAAAUAACUAAAUGGUUUUGUUUUGUAUUUUAGGGGGAGGGCAUUAGCUGUUAAAUGUUAGCUUCUUUUUGCUAUUAUGCAACUUUGUCUCUAAAUGUGAAAUCUGAUGUUCAAUAUGUAGGGUAUCGGUUGGUUUAUGCCACUUACAGUGAAGGAUUUUAUAGAAAGCUGAAACAUCGAGAAAAACAUAAGUUAGAUGAAUAGCAAUGGAAAUUAUCCUCCUUGUGGGAUUUUGGGCUACUUGAAGAAAUUUGGUAGGACUGGUCAGGAAGGAGCAAACAAUUACCUAGUAGUGAUGUCGAUGAGAUAUUAGGAAGAUCACUUCAUUUGGUCCAAGGGAGGAAGAGAAGCAUAUGAUUUCUCCACCCACUGGAAGAAUACAUCCCUUGGACCUCAUGGAAAGACAAGGUAUUUUACCCAAUCUUCUGAUCUCCAAUCUAGACAAGAGUUACAUAAGAUUCAAUACCAGAUUAUCAUCAAAAUUAACUUAAGACAUCUAUCAGACAAUCUUCUGAUUUCCAAUCUAGAGAAGAGUUACAUAAGAUUCAAUACCAGAUUGUCAUCAAAAUUAACUUAGAGACAUCUUCUGGAAGGAUUUUGGAAAUCCUGCCACCCAAAACACUGCCU
This 1623-nucleotide long non-coding RNA is filed under the name Nicotiana benthamiana. Its description in RNAcentral is "long non-coding RNA (NBEN_LNC031930)". Lineage: Eukaryota; Viridiplantae; Streptophyta; Magnoliopsida; Solanales; Solanaceae. The record is from RNAcentral.